AUGGAUCAGCAAAGAUCUGCCUAUGCACAUUCUGAACACCGAGGUGUUGGGGUUCAUGGUCAAACCAGAGGACUAUGAGAGCCUGGACCACGCUGCUCAGGACUUCCUCAACUUUAAGCUGGAAAACCUUGUGGACCACCCCCUAUACUGUACAGUCAGUACAUCUCCAGACCACCCCCUGUCAAGAACAACUUGGGGUUGGACGCGGUGUUCAUGAUUGGGCUAGUACGGAGGCCAGAAAGAAGGAACCGGAUGAUUUUAAGCCUGGACGAG
Halichondria panicea is the source of this 273-nucleotide long non-coding RNA. RefSeq lists it as uncharacterized. The record is from RefSeq and is a predicted model, not a curated record. Lineage: Eukaryota; Metazoa; Porifera; Demospongiae; Suberitida; Halichondriidae. The transcript has 4 exons.